GUCGAGCGAACAGACGAGGAGCUUGCUCCUCUGACGUUAGCGGCGGACGGGUGAGUAACACGUGGAUAACCUACCUAUAAGACUGGGAUAACUUCGGGAAACCGGAGCUAAUACCGGAUAAUAAAUUGAACCGCAUGGUUCAAUAGUGAAAGACGGUUUUGCUGUCACUUAUAGAUGGAUCCGCGCCGCAUUAGCUAGUUGGUAAGGUAACGGCUUACCAAGGCAACGAUGCGUAGCCGACCUGAGAGGGUGAUCGGCCACACUGGAACUGAGACACGGUCCAGACUCCUACGGGAGGCAGCAGUAGGGAAUCUUCCGCAAUGGGCGAAAGCCUGACGGAGCAACGCCGCGUGAGUGAUGAAGGUCUUCGGAUCGUAAAACUCUGUUAUUAGGGAAGAACAAAUGUGUAAGUAACUAUGCACGUCUUGACGGUACCUAAUCAGAAAGCCACGGCUAACUACGUGCCAGCAGCCGCGGUAAUACGUAGGUGGCAAGCGUUAUCCGGAAUUAUUGGGCGUAAAGCGCGCGUAGGCGGUUUUUUAAGUCUGAUGUGAAAGCCCACGGCUCAACCGUGGAGGGUCAUUGGAAACUGGAAAACUUGAGUGCAGAAGAGGAGAGUGGAAUUCCAUGUGUAGCGGUGAAAUGCGCAGAGAUAUGGAGGAACACCAGUGGCGAAGGCGACUUUCUGGUCUGUAACUGACGCUGAUGUGCGAAAGCGUGGGGAUCAAACAGGAUUAG
Molecule: ribosomal RNA, 738 nt
Filed under: uncultured Staphylococcus sp.
Lineage: Bacteria; Bacillati; Bacillota; Bacilli; Caryophanales; Staphylococcaceae
Description: bacterial SSU rRNA
Rfam family: Bacterial small subunit ribosomal RNA
Source: RNAcentral